UAGGCAUCUUAUCUCCGGGUUGACUUAGUCUUUCUUUUCUAAUGAUGUUGUGAUAUAUCACAAACGCCGAUGAUGGCGGCCAUGCAAUUGCAGACGAACAGAAACCCAAGAGAAACCGGUGGAAUUUCUGGAAAUUGGCCUCGAUCCUGAUACUGAUCCUAUUCUGGAAAGCUAAGAAGAUCCCAUCACACGAAAAACCAAAAAGACCAGUUUCUCCUUGUGUGGGGUGGGUAUGUUCUAGCCUUCAACGGGCUUGUAAAUUAAAGUGAAACACUACAUCAGCUCUGGUAGCGGGGACUUCUGCUGAAAGUUCGGUUUUGUGAUGUUCUUCUGCCUUCAUCACCCCAAAGACUUCCACACCCAGUAAUGGCGUGGGGAUAUGAAUUAUCUGGAAGCCCGCCACCACUGAAACAGUGGUGAUCCGGGAAAAAGGGAGCGAACGAUUGAACAAGCUACGAGCGGAGA
Molecule: small RNA, 465 nt
Filed under: Histoplasma capsulatum var. duboisii H88
Lineage: Eukaryota; Fungi; Ascomycota; Eurotiomycetes; Onygenales; Ajellomycetaceae
Description: Histoplasma capsulatum H88 hypothetical RNA
Source: RNAcentral